UAGUCCACGCCGUAAACGAUGGAUACUAGGUGUCCGGGAAGUUAACCUCCUGGGUACUACAGCUAACGCGUUAAGUAUCCCGCCUGGGGAGUACGGUCGCAAGGCUAAAACUCAAAGGAAUUGACGGGGGCCCGCACAAGCGGUGGAGUAUGUGGUUUAAUUCGAAGCAACGCGCAGAACCUUACCUGGCCUUGACAUCUCGGGACAAUCAUAGAGAUAUGACUUUCUCUUCGGAGACUCGAAGACAGAUGCUGCAUGGCUGUCGUCAGCUCGUGUUGUGAAAUGUUCGGUUAAGUCCGGCAACGAGCGCAACCCCUAUCCUUAGUUACCAGCAUUAAGUUGGGGACUCUAGGGAGACUGCCGGUGUCAAACCGGAGGAAGGCGGGGAUGACGUCAAGUCCUCAUGGCUCUUACGGCCAGGGCUACACACGUACUACAAUGGUAGAAACAAACAGUUGCUAAGCCGCGAGGCCAAGCUAACCUGUAAAACACUAUCUCAGUCCGGAUUGGAGUCUGCAACUCGA
RNAcentral lists this ribosomal RNA (524 nucleotides) under uncultured bacterium. Its description in RNAcentral is "bacterial SSU rRNA". It matches the Rfam family "Bacterial small subunit ribosomal RNA", at positions 791 to 1315 of the family's 1533-position model. The record is from RNAcentral.